RNAcentral lists this transfer RNA (68 nucleotides) under Rattus norvegicus (Norway rat). It matches the Rfam family "tRNA". From Rfam's summary of the family: Transfer RNA (tRNA) molecules are approximately 80 nucleotides in length. Their secondary structure includes four short double-helical elements and three loops (D, anti-codon, and T loops). Lineage: Eukaryota; Metazoa; Chordata; Mammalia; Rodentia; Muridae. The record is from Rfam by way of RNAcentral.
GGGGAUUUAGCUCAGUGGUAGAGCCUUGCCUGGUAAGCACAAGGCCCUGGGUUCGGUUCUCAGCUCCG